CGGACAUAUUACAUUGAAACAUCGGUUCUCGUACGGUCUCUGAAGUUAAGCAACGUCGAGCAUUGUCAGUACCUAGAUAGGUGUCCGCUUGAGAAUACUAGCUGCUGUAAG
Molecule: non-coding RNA, 111 nt
Organism: Acanthosepion pharaonis
Lineage: Eukaryota; Metazoa; Mollusca; Cephalopoda; Sepiida; Sepiidae
Source: the annotation of a GenBank genome assembly